This is a long non-coding RNA of Papaver somniferum (opium poppy), 527 nucleotides long. RefSeq lists it as uncharacterized. The record is from RefSeq and is a predicted model, not a curated record. The transcript is spliced from 2 exons. Lineage: Eukaryota; Viridiplantae; Streptophyta; Magnoliopsida; Ranunculales; Papaveraceae.
AGUCUAAGAGAAUUGUUUCAAGUCAUCUCUUAGUUACUGUUUUCAACAUCCAAUUGUGUCUCUGGUUUCAAUCAACCACCAAACUAACAAGAAAGGAAAUAAGGAUGAACAUCUCUCAAGUGCUUCGCUUAUUAUGCAUGAUCCUCCUCUUAUCUCAAGUCGCUUGGAGUCUGACUCCAUGCGAAGAAGACAGAGGCCGGGAAGCAGAUUGUCCAAGGCCACAACGAAACAAUCGUAAAAGAGGGCCCCCUUCAGGACGACCAUGAAAAGAAAAAUGGCGCAUGGUCUUUCGACUAAUAAGGGAGCAAAAUGAUCCUUCCCUCCCAUCACUGAUUUUAGUGAAUUACGAUUAAGUUUUAUUUUACAAAGCCAUUCAGAAAAAUCAAACAAAAAAUAGUGUGUAGAAAUAAUUGUCAUAGCUUGUUUCUUUGCAUAACGUUGUAAAUUAUUUCUCUUUUCGAAAUUUUCAGUUAUGUGGCAUGCAAUUUAUUUUUUUCCAUUUAAUUAAUGAAGCUCAUCUUUUAAUA